GAUGAACGCUGGCGGCGUGCCUAAUACAUGCAAGUCGAGCGAGCAGACGAGGAGCUUGCUCCUCUGACGUUAGCGGCGGACGGGUGAGUAACACGUGGAUAACCUACCUAUAAGACUGGGAUAACUUCGGGAAACCGGAGCUAAUACCGGAUAAUAUAUUGAACCGCAUGGUUCAAUAGUGAAAGACGGUUUUGCUGUCACUUAUAGAUGGAUCCGCGCCGCAUUAGCUAGUUGGUAAGGUAACGGCUUACCAAGGCGACGAUGCGUAGCCGACCUGAGAGGGUGAUCGGCCACACUGGAACUGAGACACGGUCCAGACUCCUACGGGAGGCAGCAGUAGGGAAUCUUCCGCAAUGGGCGAAAGCUUGACGGAGCAACGCCGCGUGAGUGAUGAAGGUCUUCGGAUCGUAAAACUCUGUUAUUAGGGAAGAACAAAUGUGUAAGUAACUAUGCACGUCUUGACGGUACCUAAUCAGAAAGCCACGGCUAACUACGUG
RNAcentral lists this ribosomal RNA (497 nucleotides) under uncultured bacterium. RNAcentral describes it as "partial 16S ribosomal RNA". It matches the Rfam family "Bacterial small subunit ribosomal RNA", at positions 28 to 507 of the family's 1533-position model. The record is from RNAcentral.